CAGAUGUUUUCACGGGUGGAUGAGUUAGCUCCCACAUACAUAACCAAGGGCAGAGAUGGCAAUGUACCUAUGCUCCCUGUGGAUUGUGCUGCUGGUAUUUCUCCAAGGGGUCAGAGGCCAGGAUAAUCUGCUGCAGGACUCCAUGGUGGUCAGCAAAGAAGGCGAGACUGCUACCAUUACCUGCCAGUACAAUGUCAGAAACUUCUACAGUUUGCACUGGUACAAGCAAUACCAAGGAGACAGAGUUGAAUUUCUGUUGCAAUUAUUUCAGGAGAAACCUGAGAAGAAAGACAACUUCCAUGCUGAUCUGGAUAAAACCAAGCAGGAGAGUAACUUGAGCAUCAUGAAGGUUCAUUUCAGAGAUAUUGCCACCUACUUCUGUGCUGUGGAAGCACAAUGGCACAGACAUAUUUACAGCCCAUUCAAAAACUCUGCAAGAGAGCAAAGAAGGAAAAUCCAACAAGUCUUGAUAUUUUUCUUUCCUUUAUUGUUUAAUUCUUGA
Non-coding RNA from Sceloporus undulatus (fence lizard), 502 nucleotides. The record is from the annotation of a RefSeq genome assembly. Lineage: Eukaryota; Metazoa; Chordata; Lepidosauria; Squamata; Phrynosomatidae.